RNAcentral lists this ribosomal RNA (1504 nucleotides) under Gammaproteobacteria bacterium. RNAcentral describes it as "bacterial SSU rRNA". It matches the Rfam family "Bacterial small subunit ribosomal RNA". Lineage: Bacteria; Pseudomonadati; Pseudomonadota; Gammaproteobacteria. The record is from RNAcentral.
GGUUUAGUCAUGGCUCAGAUUGAACGCUGGCGGCAGGCCUUAUACAUACAAGUCGAACGAGAAAAACUAUCUUUGGAUACGAGUAAAGUAGCGAACGGGUGAGUAAUACAUGGGAAUCUGCAAUGGAGGGGGAUAGCUCAACGAGAGGCUGAAUUUAAUACCCGCAUAAUCUCUACACGGAAGUAAAGGGAAGCUGGCUCUCGCCAUCGGAUGAGCCUAUGCAGGAUCGAAAGCUUGUUGGCUGGAGGUAAUGGCUCCUGAGGCGACGAUCCUUAGCUAGUUGAGAGGAUGACCAGCCACAUCAGGACGUGGCGGCGGACUUCUACAGGAAGAGAGCAGCAGUAGAGAAUAUUGGACAAUGAGCAGAAAGCUUGAUCCAUCCAUGCAUUGGCAUUGACAGCUUAAGGGUUAUAAGCACUUUAAGGUAACAUGAGGAAAAGUUAAGUCUUAUGCAUCUAACCUUGACAUUAAUUAUCUCUUUCGGCUAAAUCCGUGCCGGCAACCAUGAUAAUACGGAUGGUGCAAGCGUUAAUCGAAUUACUGGGCGUAAGCGCAUGGGUAGCAUGCCUGGGAUUAGAUGUAGCAGAAAUCCCAAAACGCCUGGAACUGCAUCUAAAACUGGUAAGCUUGGUACUAGAGAGGAAAGUAGAAUUCUUAGUGUAGCGGUGGAAUGCGUAGAUAUUAAGAGGAAUACCUAUUAAGCGAGGCCAACUUUCUGGAUAGUGCUGUGCUGAGGUGCGAAGCGUGAGGGCAAGCAGAGUUAGAUACCACAAGUGUAGUCCGCCCAAUGAACAGAAAAGUGAUAACUAGCCGUUGGAUUUAUUCCGGUGGCGCAACAUUCAGUUAUCCGCCUGGGGAGUACGGCCGCAAGGCUAAACUCAAACAUAGACCUACAAUGAGGACACACAAGCAGUGGAGCAUGUGGUUUAAUUCGAUACCUUGCAAGCCACCUACAUGGCAUACUUCGAAUCUUUUAGAGAUAUAAAAAAAUUGCCUUCAGAAUAAGAAGAUACAGGUGCUGUUAACUGUCGUCAGCUCGUGUCGUAAGGAUCAUUGGGGUUAAGUCCUAUAACGAAGUACCAGCACCCACACAUAUUGCCAGCAGUUUGGCCAGGAACUAUAAAGGGAACUGCCGGUAAUAAGCCGGAGGAAGGUGGGGACGACGUCAAGUCAUCUGCUUGGCCCUUACGUGUGAGGCCACGUGCUACAAUAGGAAUACAAACGGUCGCUAAAGCGCGAGCUGACCGUCCAAAUGCGUCUCUUCGUAAUUAAUUGCAGUCUAGAACUCGUAGCUGCAUGAAGCCAGAAUCGUAAUGUCAGAUCAACAUGCCGCAGUGAAUACCGUUCUCGGGUCUUCCCUUUUCCGCCGUCACACCAUGAAAUUACAUUGCCAGAAAGUAGAUAAAGCAACCUUCAGGUUAGCGUUUACCACAUUAUUGGUCAUACGACUGGUGAAGUCGUAACAAAAGGUACUUUAGGGGAACCUGGGCUGGAUCACCUCCUU